Molecule: ribosomal RNA, 749 nt
Filed under: uncultured bacterium
Lineage: Bacteria
Description: bacterial SSU rRNA
Rfam family: Bacterial small subunit ribosomal RNA
Source: RNAcentral
ACAUGCAAGUCGAGGGGCAUCACGAGGUAGCAAUACUUUGGUGGCGACCGGCGCACGGGUGAGUAACGCGUAUGUAACCUACCCUGUACAGGGGGAUAGCCCGGAGAAAUUCGGAUUAAUACCCCAUAAAGAUAUUGAGAGGCAUCUUUGAUAUUUAAAGUUUCGGCGGUACGGGAUGGGCAUGCGUAACAUUAGCUAGUUGGUAAGGUAACGGCUUACCAAGGCGACGAUGUUUAGGGGUCCUGAGAGGGUGAUCCCCCACACUGGUACUGAGACACGGACCAGACUCCUACGGGAGGCAGCAGUGAGGAAUAUUGGUCAAUGGGCGCAAGCCUGAACCAGCCAUCCCGCGUGAAGGAAGAAGGCGCUAUGCGUUGUAAACUUCUUUUCCAGGGGAAGAAAAUUCUGCACGUGUGCGGAACUGCCGGUACCCUGGGAAUAAGCAUCGGCUAACUCCGUGCCAGCAGCCGCGGUAAUACGGAGGAUGCGAGCGUUAUCCGGAUUUAUUGGGUUUAAAGGGUGCGUAGGCGGAUUAAUAAGUCAGUGGUGAAAACCUUCAGCUUAACUGGAGACUUGCCAUUGAUACUGUUAGUCUUGAGUACGGUCAAGGUAGGCGGAAUGUGUAAUGUAGCGGUGAAAUGCUUAGAUAUUACACAGAACACCGAUUGCGAAGGCAGCUUACUGGGCCAUUACUGACGCUGAUGCACGAAAGCGUGGGGAGCGAACAGGAUUAGAUACCCUGGUAGUCC